AUUCAUUACCCUUUUCUAUUCCCCGUGCAGACAAAUCAAUCCUCCGUGUGCACCUUCACACAAAGCAGGCCCUAUUGACUUUCAUGACUGAAUCUUUCAUCUUUCCCCUGUUUGUUUGUUUGCCCGUCUGUGAGCAAGGUCUUUAUAUUGUGUAACAGAAAUACCUUGUGGAAUAGAGGUGAAACUUACAUGGGCUUUUGAAUCAGGGGCAUUUCACACAAACACUCCAUUAUCUUAUUUUUUAAAGGUGACGUUAGCAUUACUGAUUAUCUUAUUUAUUUAUUUAAAGGUGACGUUAGCAUUACUGAUUAUCUUUUUUUUUUUUUUUAAAGGUGACGUUAGCAUUACUGAUUAUCUUAUUUUUUUUUAAAGGUGACUGUAGCAUUACUGAUUAUCUUUUUUUUUUUUUUAAGGUGACGUUAGCAUUACUGAUUAUCUUAUUUAUUUAUUUAAAGGUGACGUUAGCAUUACUGAUUAUCUUAUUUUUUAAAAGGUGACGUUAGCAUUACUGAUUAUCUUAUUUAUUUAUUUAUUUAAAGGUGACGUUAGCAUUACUGAUUAUCUUAUUUAUUUAUUUAAAGGUGACGUUAGCAUUACUGAUUAUCUUAUUUAUUUAUUAUUUUAAAGGUGACGUUAGCAUUACUGAUUAUCUUAUUUAUUUAUUAUUUUAAAGGUGACGUUAGCAUUACUGAUUAUCUUAUUUUUUUUAAAGGUGACGUUAGCAUUACUGAUUAUCUUAUUUAUUUAUUUAAAGGUGACGUUAGCAUCACUGACGUCACCGUUGCUCCCGGGCCGAUAGUCUGAAAACAUUGUGCCGUCUGACGUUAAGACUAUAUAUUGACAAGCCCUGUAAUCCAUUUGGAAAUAUAAUGAAAUUGAACCCACACAUGUACUGACAUGCUGAUUAACUUCUUGUCUGGUCACAGUAUUCAUUGAAUGAGGCAUAUCUACACUGAACGAGGCAUAUAUCUACACUGAACGAGGCAUAUAUCUGCACUGUGAAUGAGGCAUAUAUCUACACUGAACGAGGCAUAUAUCUGCACUGUGAAUGAGGCAUAUAUCUACACUGUGAACGAGGCAUAUAUCUGCACUGUGAACGAGGCAUAUAUCUACACUGUGAAUGAGGCAUAUAUCUGCACUGUGAACGAGGCAUAUAUCUGCACUGUGUGUGUGAAAGGAUAUUGAGAUACAUGAUCUAAAUCACACAAGUUCAUCUCGCUGUGCAUCAUAUUUCCAACAGCUUUAUUGCACCUGAGGUCAUUGUGGUAAAUGUGUAUUUUUACUCCUAGUGUUGUUAUUAGGAUAUGUUCCUAAUGGUAACCUGUUCCCCAUAUAGUGUACCCUAUGGGCUCUGGUCUAAAGUAGUGCACUAUAUAGGGAAUAGGGUUCUAUAGAGCUCUGGUCUAAAGUAGUGCACUAUAUAGGGAAUAG
Molecule: long non-coding RNA, 1431 nt
Organism: Oncorhynchus tshawytscha (Chinook salmon)
Lineage: Eukaryota; Metazoa; Chordata; Actinopteri; Salmoniformes; Salmonidae
Source: Ensembl